AUACAGACUCUAAAGCAGAAAACAAAAUCUACUUUUUUAUAAAUUGAGGGAUAUACAUAUAGAUGUACAUUUUAGACUCUAAAAUUAAGGAUUUCCUGGUGUGGUGUUUUUCAAAUGUUUGAAUAAAAGAAAGAUUUUUAAUAUUGUGAAUAAUUAUUGUUUAUUGUGUCUUUAGGUCUUGGAAUAUUCAGAACAGUUGAAUGAAAACAAGAAUCUCUAAAGGCUUCUACCACAAACUCCAGAAGACAAAACAAUUGUCUACUAAAAUGGCUAGAGAUUACCUUCACUCUGGAUUAAUCAUCUUUGGUUAUAUAAACAAUAGUAAUUUUGCUGGUGCUGUUCUGACUAUAAAAUAUGAAGACUUCUUGUGGAACCAUGAAUUCAUGCCAAGUCUGUCCUUGGUUCAUCAUGCAGACUGCCAUCAACUAAUCUGACGAUUCUAUUAGGACAUUGAUCAGAAGAUGGGAGGCCAAAACCUUUUUAACCCUUUAAUUGCAAAUCAUUCUUCCAUUCAUAAAGGAAGGAAACUUUCCCAUUCAGAACAUGGUGUUUAUUGAAAUCUUUAAAAUGAGUUUUGUUCUAACUAGCUUGAAAGUUACCAAUGAUGUUAGAGCUUUUUCAGUUUCCUCAGCUCAUUCAAAUAUUCUUUCUAU
This 653-nucleotide long non-coding RNA is filed under the name Monodelphis domestica (gray short-tailed opossum). RNAcentral describes it as "lncRNA (ENSMODG00000042803.1)". Lineage: Eukaryota; Metazoa; Chordata; Mammalia; Didelphimorphia; Didelphidae. The record is from RNAcentral.